AUUGAACGCUGGCGGCAUGGCUAAAACAUGCAAGUCGAACGAGAACCUCGCAAGAGGGGACAGUGGCGGAAGGGUCAGUAAUGCGAUCGAAUGUACCCCGAGGUGGGGAUAGGUCGGGAAACCCGGCGUAAUACCCCAUGUGCUCUCCGGAGCAAAGAUUCAUCGCCUUGGGAGCAGCGGUCGUCCUAUCAGGUAGUUGGCGGGUAA
This 207-nucleotide ribosomal RNA is filed under the name uncultured bacterium. RNAcentral's name for it is "partial 16S ribosomal RNA". It matches the Rfam family "Bacterial small subunit ribosomal RNA", at positions 30 to 259 of the family's 1533-position model. The record is from RNAcentral.